This 697-nucleotide long non-coding RNA is filed under the name Rattus norvegicus (Norway rat). RNAcentral's name for it is "long non-coding RNA NONRATT011969". Lineage: Eukaryota; Metazoa; Chordata; Mammalia; Rodentia; Muridae. The record is from RNAcentral.
UUGCCACACAGAGAAAAACAGUUACUGGUAAGUUUUUUUUUUUAAUAUUCACUUUCCAUUAACAAUCAAUGUCUUUGAAUUCUUUAUAGUAACUAGUCAUAUAAUUUUGUCUCUCUCAUUCUAAUUUCCUUGCUGUGCUUUUGUCCCAUUUGGUAAAAUAACUUGUUAAAACUUCAACUUAGUAGUUUAAAUCUUAGGGAAGAGUAACGUAAAUAGAAAUCUCAAACUGUUCUUGGCUUGUUGCAUUUGACAAUGAGAAAUACAUGACUAUAAAUCAGCACUGUUGGGAUUUAACAGCGUGGUGGACAUUAGUGUCUGGAGGUUCUGCCCUGGAUGCGGUGGAGAAGGGCUGUGCUAUGUGUGAAAAGGAGCAAUGUGGUGGUACUGUAGGCUUUGGAGGAAGUCCUGAUGAAGUUGGGGAAACCACCCUGGAUGCCAUGAUCAUGGAUGGGUAAGGAUGCUCUUCAGGACUUCCAUUUGUGUUUUCCUGUCAGGUUAGCUCAUGAUCGGAGCAGGAAGGAAGGAUGCAUGAAUGUGAGCAUGGCUCAGAACCCCUGACUUAGGGGACUUCUCCCUUCCAACACAAAGAGUUAACAGGAAAAGCAAAUAAGGCUGAAAGGUCAUCCAGAUACUCAGGAUGACAGAAAAGUCAGUGCUUACAUAGCUUUGGCUGACGAGAACCCUGAGAUAACAGAAC